ACGGACUCGCCAUGUCUACGGCCCCACCCACCUCCUGCUAUCUCUUCGAUAAAUGGGCUCGAGGUGGUUCACCUGUAUUAGGCCCAAUUAAUACAAUUGGGCCUUGUUAAAAGGCCUAUUCUUCCCACAAAUGAGGAAAGCCUACGCUUUAUUUUUCUCUUUUUCUGAGACUUGGGGACCACUUUUUUUUCCUCGAGUUUCAGCCCAUAUUCAAAGACAUUCUGAGUUGGUGUCAGUACAGUAGAUGCCCGCGACAUCGGAGAGGCGUGACCCUCACGUGCGAUCUCAACCGUCCGAUGUUCUGGGAGCGCGUGUGUUCCAAAUCCAUAACUCUCUCCUCCCCCACAGUCCGAUGCGUCGCCAUAACUUGUGGCGGGGCCUCCUCUUUUCGCUUUUUCUUUGGGUUUCCCCAACACAAUCGCAAAAUUGAAUCGCGUAUGGCUGGCUGCCUGGCUCAUACGUCAUCUGUAACAAUAAUAUUUGAUGUGAAUGCGAUGUUUUCCGCUGAAACGCGAAAGCCGAUGCAUUCGUUUUUACGUAUAUUCAGGAUUUUUAAUAAAUGGUUGUUUUUGAAAGCCAAAACAGAACAAGAAAAGUUAGGCGUGAAAGGAGAAAGUGAGUCUGCGUAUGAAAAAAGAAACAUCCAAACACGGAACAAGCAUCUCUCCCUGUUCUCUGCGUCGAUUGCUACUUCCAGGAUCAGCCCUCGUUGAUAAACCACGACAGAAGAAACCCUGAUUUCUUCAGCAGCAGAAGAUCUUCGCACAAGACAGAGAAAUGCAUGCGAAGACGGACUCGGAGGGGACGAGCAUCGAGGCGGCGUCGUCGUGGGCGCCGCCACGGACGGCGGCGAGGCCUCUCUACUACGUCCAGAGCCCAUCCAACCAUGACGUCGAGAAGAUGUCGUUCGGGUCGGGCUGCAGCCCGAUGGCUUCACCCGCCCACCCGCAUUUCUACCACUGCUCCCCCAUCCACCACUCCCGCGAGUCCUCUACCUCUCGCUUCUCCGACUCCCUCAAGCCCCACCCUCUCUUCCCUUACAAGUCCCUCCGUCUCCGCCUCCACGCCGGAGAUCUCUCCGACGACGGCGACUCCGACUCCGACGGCGACGGCUCUCGCAAUCUCCGGCUCUAUCUCUGUCUGUUCGUCUCGUUCCUUGUCUUGUUCACCCUCUUCUCUCUCAUCCUCUGGGGCGCCAGCAAAUCCUACCCUCCCAAAGUCAUCGUCAAGGGGAUAGUGUUCGAGAACAUGAACGUGCAGGCGGGGAACGACAGAACGGGGGUGACGACGGACAUGCUGACUAUGAACUCGACGGUCAGAUUUCUCUUCCGCAAUCCCUCCACCUUCUUCGCCGUCCACGUCACCUCCUCCCCCUUCCUCUUCCACUAUUCCCAGCUCACUCUCGCCUCCGGCCAGAUGAAGAAGUUCACGCAGCCGCGUAAGAGCCAGCGGAGCGUGGUGACGGUGGUGCAAGGCCACCAGGUACCUCUGUACGGUGGAAUCUCAGUGCUCUCGAGCCAACACGACCAUCUGGACAGAGUGUCUCUCCCGCUCAAUCUAACAAUGGUUCUGCGGUCCAGAGCUUACAUUCUGGGUAGGCUGGUCAAGUCCAAGUUCUAUACCAAGAUCAGAUGCCCCCUCACUCUCCACGCUAACAGACUUGGCAAACCCAUGCGUCUCCACCCCCACUCCUGCCUUUAUUCUCGCUGACUCACCUCUCGCUUCUAGAGCUCUUGCUUCUCCUUUCUCUAGUGCCCGAUAUCUACAUUUCAGAUCGAUUGGCCGUGGGUCUGCAACACGUUUAUCUGAUGGUUGAACGGGGAAAAAGCCUCCAACAUAAGACUGUUAUUACAGAACACACUGAAACUUAGAUA
This is an RNA transcript of Tarenaya hassleriana, 1874 nucleotides long. RefSeq lists it as uncharacterized. The transcript has 4 exons. The record is from RefSeq and is a predicted model, not a curated record. NCBI's taxonomy places the organism in Eukaryota, Viridiplantae, Streptophyta, Magnoliopsida, Brassicales, Cleomaceae.